GGGCCCAUAGCUCAGGCUGGUAGAGCGUUCGGCUCUUAACCGAAAGGUCGAGGGUUCGAAUCCCUCUGGGCCCG
Molecule: transfer RNA, 74 nt
Filed under: Candidatus Woesearchaeota archaeon
Lineage: Archaea; Nanobdellati; Candidatus Woesearchaeota
Description: tRNA-Lys
Rfam family: tRNA
About the family: Transfer RNA (tRNA) molecules are approximately 80 nucleotides in length. Their secondary structure includes four short double-helical elements and three loops (D, anti-codon, and T loops).
Source: RNAcentral